This 430-nucleotide ribosomal RNA is filed under the name uncultured Parcubacteria group bacterium. RNAcentral describes it as "bacterial SSU rRNA". It matches the Rfam family "Bacterial small subunit ribosomal RNA", at positions 355 to 776 of the family's 1533-position model. The record is from RNAcentral. RNAcentral also lists the same sequence under 1 other name.
UGGGGAAUAUUGGACAAUAGGGGAAACCCUGAUCCAGCGACGUCGCGUGGGUGAUGAAGGCUUUCGGGUCGUAAAGCCCUGUCAGGAGGAAAGAACACCCCCAUGGUAAAUACCCAUGGGAAAUGACGGUACCUCCAAAGGAAGCACCGGCCAACUCCGUGCCAGCAGCCGCGGUAAGACGGAGGGUGCAAGCGUUGCUCGGAAUCACUGGGCGUAAAGGGUGCGUAGGCGGCCUCUUAAGUCUGGCGUGAAAGCCCAGGGCUCAGCCUUGGAAGUGCGCUAGAAACUGGGGGGCUUGAGUAUCGGAUGGGAGAGUGGAAUUCCUGGUGUAGCGGUGAAAUGCGUAGAUAUCAGGAGGAAUACCGGUGGCGAAGGCGACUCUCUGGACGAUAACUGACGCUGAGGCACGAAAGCGUGGGGAGCAAACAGG